AAGCAAAUCACACCUGCCAUUCUUGGAC
Molecule: non-coding RNA, 28 nt
Filed under: Rattus norvegicus (Norway rat)
Lineage: Eukaryota; Metazoa; Chordata; Mammalia; Rodentia; Muridae
Source: RNAcentral